AUCGAACGCUGGCGGCAGGCUUAACACAUGCAAGUCGAGCGGAGCGAGGGUGCUUGCACCUUAGCUUAGCGGCGGACGGGUGAGUAAUGCUUAGGAAUCUGCCUAUUAGUGGGGGACAACAUUCCGAAAGGAAUGCUAAUACCGCAUACGCCCUACGGGGGAAAGCAGGGGAUCUUCGGACCUCGUGCGAUUGGAAUGGCCGAUAUCUGAUUAGCUAGUUGGUGGGGUAAAAGCCCACCAAGGCGACGAUCAGUAGCUGGUUUGAGAGAACGACCAGCCACACUGGAACUGAGACACGGUCCAGACUCCUACGGGAGGCAGCAGUGGGGAAUUUUGGACAAUGGGCGCAAGCCUGAUCCAGCAAUGCCGCGUGAGUGAAGAAGGCCCUCGGGUUGUAAAGCUCUUUUGUCAGGGAAGAAAAGGCAUCUCCUAAUAUGGGGUGCUCAUGACGGUACUGAAGAAUCAGCACCGGCUAACUACGUGCCAGCAGCCGCGGUAA
RNAcentral lists this ribosomal RNA (499 nucleotides) under uncultured bacterium. Its description in RNAcentral is "partial 16S ribosomal RNA". It matches the Rfam family "Bacterial small subunit ribosomal RNA", at positions 30 to 523 of the family's 1533-position model. The record is from RNAcentral.